AUUGAACGCUGGCGGCAGGCCUAACACAUGCAAGUCGAGCGGAUGAAGGGAGCUUGCUCCUGGAUUCAGCGGCGGACGGGUGAGUAAUGCCUAGGAAUCUGCCUGGUAGUGGGGGAUAACGUCCUGAAACGGGCGCUAAUACCGCAUACGUCCUGAGGGAGAAAGAGGGGGAUCUUCGGACCUUACGCUAUCAGAUGAGCCUAGGUCGGAUUAGCUAGUUGGUGGGGUAAAGGCCUACCAAGGCGACGAUCCGUAACUGGUCUGAGAGGAUGAUCAGUCACACUGGAACUGCGACACGGUCCAGACUCCUACGGGAGGCAGCAGUGUGGAAUAUUGGACAAUGGGCGAAAGCCUGAUACAGCCAUGCCGCGUGUGUGAAGAAGGUCUUCGGAUUGUAAAGCACUUUAAGUUGGGAGGAAGGGCAGUAAGUUAAUACCUUGCUGUUUUGACGUUACCAACAGAAUAAGCACCGGCUAACUUCGUG
RNAcentral lists this ribosomal RNA (484 nucleotides) under uncultured bacterium. RNAcentral describes it as "partial 16S ribosomal RNA". It matches the Rfam family "Bacterial small subunit ribosomal RNA", at positions 30 to 507 of the family's 1533-position model. The record is from RNAcentral.